This 468-nucleotide ribosomal RNA is filed under the name uncultured bacterium. Its description in RNAcentral is "partial 16S ribosomal RNA". It matches the Rfam family "Bacterial small subunit ribosomal RNA", at positions 28 to 507 of the family's 1533-position model. The record is from RNAcentral.
GACGAACGCUGGCGGCGUGCUUAACACAUGCAAGUCGAACGGAAAGGCCCUGCUUUUGUGGGGUGCUCGAGUGGCGAACGGGUGAGUAACACGUGAGCAACCUGCCCUUGACUUUGGGAUAACUUCAGGAAACUGGGGCUAAUACCGGAUAGGAGCUCCUGCUGCAUGGUGGGGGUUGGAAAGUUUCGGCGGUUGGGGAUGGACUCGCGGGUUAUCAGCUUGUUGGUGGGGUAGUGGCUUACCAAAGCUUUGACGGGUAGCCGGCCUGAGAGGGUGACCGGCCACAUUGGGACUGAGAUACGGCCCAGACUCCUACGGGAGGCAGCAGUGGGGAGUAUUGCACAGUGGGCGGAAGCCUGAUGCAGCGACGCCGCGUGCGGGAUGACGGCCUUCGGGUUGUAAACCGCUUUCGCCUGUGACGAAGCGUGAGUGGCGGUAAUGGGUAAAGAAGCACCGGCUAACUACGUG